This 893-nucleotide long non-coding RNA is filed under the name Numida meleagris (helmeted guineafowl). RNAcentral's name for it is "lncRNA (ENSNMEG00000017178.1)". Lineage: Eukaryota; Metazoa; Chordata; Aves; Galliformes; Numididae. The record is from RNAcentral.
AGAGGAGAGGAGAGGAGAGGAGAGGAGAGGAGAGGAGAGUCUUGCUAUGGGGGACUGUUUCACUGGAGAACCGUAAGAACUCUACAAGUAGGCAAAAUACAAACGCGCAGGAGAAAGACAUCUGAGAACACUUAGCUGGCCUCACUGAUAGAAAUGAUUGUGGGGAGAGGGGUUAAAUAGAUCCCAGAGAACAAGGAAAGAUGUGGAACGUUACUUGGGUAAUUGGAGUGCUGGGUAGCAAAUACUGGAGGCAAAUCCACGUCUCCUAAGAGACCUGGCGACGUCUGGGGAAUGCAGUCCCUGCUUUAGCAUUGCUCUUUUUAAAAAGUAAGGCAGCUGGAAAGCAUCAGGCAGCGAAGAAGGGACAGAUUUGGUGACACAGCUUCUGAGGGGGUACGGGAGAAGGAGGAGCACACGGAAGGGAGAUGGACUCCCUGCAUGUAACUCACCCCGCUGAGAAGGAGAGCCGCAGCCUUCUCCACGCAGACAAAAGAUGGCGAAGAGCCCGUGGUACCAAGCUGAACAGCAGCAGGCACCGAGGGACAAGGUCUCUGUGGCCACUUCUCCAGCCCAGCCACAGCUCUUCCCUCUCUGCAGGUCCAGCACGACCAACAAGAGCAAUGCAAAGUUUCAAUGGAGGAUCCAGCACUAACCUAACACCAAAACAAUCCAGGUGUGUGUCUUCAGCAGCAUGAGACUGAGAUGCCCUCCCCCUCCAACAGCAUGGCCACUAAAAUACACAGCAGACAGACUACAGACAAGGCAGAGGACUCAGUUUGGGGGUUUCUCUGGGAGGAAACCCAUGAGACAGCACCACGCCAUGGCCUGGCCCAGCUCAGCUCAUCCUCCCUUCCUCCAGAGGGAUACAAACUCUCCACGAGGAUGAAAACCAC